GACGAACGCUGGCGGCGUGCUUAACACAUGCAAGUCGAACGGUAAGGCCCUUCGGGGUACACGAGUGGCGAACGGGUGAGUAACACGUGGGUGAUCUGCCCUGCACUUCGGGAUAAGCCUGGGAAACUGGGUCUAAUACCGGAUAGGACCACUGCCUGCAUGGGUGGUGGUGGAAAGCUUUUGCGGUGUGGGAUGGGCCCGCGGCCUAUCAGCUUGUUGGUGGGGUGAUGGCCUACCAAGGCGACGACGGGUAGCCGGCCUGAGAGGGUGACCGGCCACACUGGGACUGAGAUACGGCCCAGACUGCUACGGGAGGCAGCAGUGGGGAAUAGUGCACACUGGGCGCAAGCCGGAUGCAGCGACGCCGCGUGAGGGAUGACGGCCUUCGGGUUGUAAACCUCUUUCAGCACCGACGAAGCGCAAGUGACGGUAGGUGCAGAAGAAGGACCGGCCAACUACGUGCCAGCCGCCGCAGUAA
This 478-nucleotide ribosomal RNA is filed under the name uncultured bacterium. RNAcentral's name for it is "partial 16S ribosomal RNA". It matches the Rfam family "Bacterial small subunit ribosomal RNA", at positions 28 to 523 of the family's 1533-position model. The record is from RNAcentral.